UUACCUCUUCUGUCUUUGUACAUAUUACUUUUUAUAUGAUCAGUUUCCUUAUAAUAAUUACAGUGUAAAAGUGAAUAUUUCUAUUUCCCUAGUGAAGGGUUAAAACAUGCUUUAUGAACUCUUAUGUGUUUGCAAUGGAUGCUGCUGCCCUGUGUUAGAUGCCUUUGUCUCUCAUACAGAUACCAGGCUUGUGUGGGUCUGGCAUCCAAGGUCAGCUCUCUACUAGAUGAAACCUGCUUUUUCUACUUCUGUGUGUUACUAAAAGAUCCUUUGUUAAGUUUCGCCUGAUGCAACAUAUAUAACAUCUGCCUGGCAACUGCUAUAUCCAAUUAUGUUAUGUCAAGUAUUAACCACCCCUACGUACCCCACCCAGGCACCUACCCCUAAGCCAAUGAGCCCUUUUACACUUGUCAGUUCCACCCAUAUGCAUUGUCUUAUAUACUCUUGUUAACUUUAUAAUAAACAGUGUGAAUUUUAACUGCUUGUCUGUGCAUGUACCUUGUGGUUAAAAGUUUACACUCCAGACGUCUGUAAGGCCAUCACAUCGAGGGUUAAAGAAAAUAAGGUCAAAUCCUUUCAGCUGGGGGUUAUGUCCGGGAUUCAGUGAUCGUCCCCGAAUAAUAAAGAUAGAAGAUUUAUUGUCUGUCUUUGCUAUGCGGGAUUGCGGUCAUACACUGAAGCUGAAUCCGUGUCAGUGUUCCGGGAACACGUGACAAGGUAAUAUUUAAGUCCGGGACUUAAUAUUACGAAGUUUUUAAAACAGGUAUCAGGGAUACCAUAGAAUCUUUAAUGUCUGGGACUUAAAGAUACGUCUGAGAAGGGACCAGGGGUCCGAGCGCACUUCUCCAAAGACGUUAGUAUCUGGGAUACUUAAAAUAGACCUGGGAGUCUAUACGUAACGUAGAGAAUACCCCGAUUUGAUCGCCUAUAUAUUUUUGUAUGUUUGUAGUGAGAUAAGUUCUUAUAUUUGGUCCAGACGGCUGGUAAGUUUUCGUCUGCCAGAUAUCUUUACUCAAACACUUUUCUUGCUUCCUGUCUAAAACGCUGUAUUUUUUCUGACAUCUUGUACGAAGGUAAGCGUACCCGUCAAAAGAUUUCAUGUUCUCAUUAUACAGAUAAUAUUGUGAUAUUGUCAAUGACUAAUUAACUGGUGUUAGCUAAUGCAUGCAUAGAAAGUUUUUGUAAAUUGCAUUUUUUUUGUUGUGAAAUUUCAUAGAAAGUCUUUUUGUUGUGAAAUUGCAUAGAAGGUUUUUUUUUGUAAACUGCAUUUUUGUUGUGAUAUUGCAUAGACAGUUGUUGUGGGUUGUUGUGGAAAUUGCGUAGAAAGCUGGUGUAGAUUGCAUUUUUACUAUGGGAGGGACCUAUGUAUAAGUAGAGUGUCGUAUAUUUUAGAUAAUUUUCUUUUAAAAGUUGUACUGUUGAUUUAUAUUACUGUCUGACAAUGGGCUCUAGUCAGAGUAAAAAAACUGCAUAUCCCCCGCCCCUCCCUGGUGAGACAUGCAGGAUGUAUGUUGCCCGUAACUCUACCUCAGAGUAUUAUUUAGUUAACCCAUGGGUGGAUAAUUUAGCGGGAUGGACAGAGAAAGCAGGACGGGACCCAUUCCUACGGGAAGGCAGUAAUUACCUUUUCUAUAUGGAGAUUUAAGAAAAAAUGUCAGUUUCCAAUAGCACAGAAGCGAAGCUGCAGAGGAAUUGAACCUACACACCCCUUUAAAGUCGGAGACAGAGUCGUGGUGAAGGUGCUCCCCAGGAACAAGAGCCCAGGAGACUUCACCUAUGGUCCAGAGACAGAGGUCGUAGCAGUUACCCGAACAGCAGUCCUGACAGAGGAAAGUCCUACCUGGAUCCAUGCAUCCCGAGUAAAAAAAAAGGUUCCUAGACCAGACCUAGAGAGGGAAGCAAGUGAUUCCAGUGAGGUACGAACCGGGGCAGACAGCCCUGACCUCCCACCUAGCGAAGAAAGAAGAACAGAAGAAGAUGAGGAACCUGUCCCCUAUCUUUAUCCUGGGGACUACCUUGAUAGCCCUACUGGCCCUCACUCACCACACUUACUAACCCUACCUUUGAAGACACCCUAGCUAUUGAAACUGGUUUCUCUGACAUUAAUUUUUGGUUGGAAUGGAUGAAGUAUAGUGCUAACAAACACAAUAAAAGCAACUGUUAUGUCUGUGGCAAAUCUAGGCCCCACCUAGGUACAGUGCCCCUUAAUAUACCCCUAGAACAAGAAAAUUGUUUUUUUUUUCAGCCUUUUUAAUGACACCAAAACAAAUGACAGUCAGUGCGAAAUGUGGAAAAGGGAAUAUCCCAUAUUGUCAAAAAAUCCCAACCCAGGAAGCACCAUAACCAUAUAUCCUGGAAACUACACUUGUUAUACAUCUAACACCACAACAGGGAGAAAUUUAAAAACCUUCCCACCAGGGUAUUGUGCAAAUAAAAGAACAACUGUUUUAGUCAACCAAACUAGAUCAUUAGGCGACAUUUAUUACAUAUGUGGGAAACUGUAAAUAAAAACGUAGCCUGGAUUAAUUAUAUAUAUUAUAAUCAACAAAGAUUUGUUAAUGAUACCAAAGAUGCUCUUAAAGGUAUAGCUGAACAGCUAGAAGCCACUUCCCAAAUGACAUUCCAAAAUAGAAUGGCCCUUGACAUGAUCCUAGCAGAAAAAGGCGGUACAUGUGUUUACAUUAGUAAGGUGGAAGGCUGUUGUACAUAUAUUCCUGACAACACUGGUCCCAAUGGUAAGGUUACUUUAGCCAUAAACAAGUUAGAAACCUUAUCCAUAGAACUUAAGAAAAAUUCAGGUAUUGAUAACCCAUGGAGCCAAUAUUUUGGAUGGUUUGAAAAUUGGAAACUGGCUCUUGUGCAAAUAAGCAUAUUCAUACUUGUAACUUUAAUUCUUGUAGGCAUUAUAGUUUAUUGUGUAAUUCCCUGUGGAAAGAAACUUACCUCCAAAGGCAUUGAUAAGGCCCUGAUGUAUUAUGACAUAACCACCAGUCCUGUCACCUCCUCUGAUAGUAAGGGACCCGACGAUUAUGUCCAAUAUCUCAAGAACUGGAGAAACAAGAAAGGAGCCUCACUCAAGAAUCAUGUCAUAUAAUAAUCAUGAUUCUAAGAGGGGAUUGAAGGGUUACCUCUUCUGUCUUUGUACAUAUUACUUUUUAUAUGAUCAGUUUCCUUAUAAUAAUUACAGUGUAAAAGUGAAUAUUUCUAUUUCCCUAGUGAAGGGUUAAAACAUGCUUUAUGAACUCUUAUGUGUUUGCAAUGGAUGCUGCUGCCCUGUGUUAGAUGCCUUUGUCUCUCAUACAGAUACCAGGCUUGUGUGGGUCUGGCAUCCAAGGUCAGCUCUCUACUAGAUGAAACCUGCUUUUUCUACUUCUGUGUGUUACUAAAAGAUCCUUUGUUAAGUUUCGCCUGAUGCAACAUAUAUAACAUCUGCCUGGCAACUGCUAUAUCCAAUUAUGUUAUGUCAAGUAUUAACCACCCCUACGUACCCCACCCAGGCACCUACCCCUAAGCCAAUGAGCCCUUUUACACUUGUCAGUUCCACCCAUAUGCAUUGUCUUAUAUACUCUUGUUAACUUUAUAAUAAACAGUGUGAAUUUUAA
This is a long non-coding RNA of Pseudophryne corroboree (corroboree frog), 3602 nucleotides long. RefSeq lists it as uncharacterized. Lineage: Eukaryota; Metazoa; Chordata; Amphibia; Anura; Myobatrachidae. The record is from RefSeq and is a predicted model, not a curated record. The transcript has 2 exons.